This 135-nucleotide transfer RNA is filed under the name Candidatus Gemmiger excrementavium. RNAcentral's name for it is "tRNA-OTHER". It matches the Rfam family "tRNA". From Rfam's summary of the family: Transfer RNA (tRNA) molecules are approximately 80 nucleotides in length. Their secondary structure includes four short double-helical elements and three loops (D, anti-codon, and T loops). Further hydrogen bonds mediate the characteristic L-shaped molecular structure. tRNAs have two regions of fundamental functional importance: the anti-codon, which is responsible for specific mRNA codon recognition, and the 3' end, to which the tRNAs corresponding amino acid is attached (by aminoacyl-tRNA synthetases). tRNAs cope with the degeneracy of the genetic code in two manners: having more than one tRNA (with a specific anti-codon) for a particular amino acid; and 'wobble' base-pairing, i.e. permitting non-standard base-pairing at the 3rd anti-codon position. The record is from RNAcentral. Lineage: Bacteria; Bacillati; Bacillota; Clostridia; Eubacteriales; Oscillospiraceae.
GCGCACAUAGCUCAAAGUAGAGCGGCAGCGCGAUAAGCUGCGUCACAUUGACGAUACACAGUCGGUGGAAUCGGCGUCUAGUCAGCAAAGAGGAAACCGACGGCGGUGAUGGUUCAAGUCCAUCUGUGCGCGCCA